AGUCGAGGGGUAGAAGUUGCUUGCAACUUUGAGACCGGCGCACGGGUGCGUAACGCGUAUGCAAUCUACCUUGUACGGGGGGAUAGCCCAGAGAAAUUUGGAUUAAUACCCCAUAGUAUUAUUGAAUGGCAUCAUUUAAUUAUUAAAGUUCCAACGGUACAAGAUGAGCAUGCGUCCUAUUAGCUAGUUGGUGUGGUAACGGCACACCAAGGCUACGAUAGGUAGGGGUCCUGAGAGGGAGAUCCCCCACACUGGUACUGAGACACGGACCAGACUCCUACGGGAGGCAGCAGUGAGGAAUAUUGGACAAUGGGCGCAAGCCUGAUCCAGCCAUGCCGCGUGCAGGAAGAAGCAUCUAUGGUGUGUAAACUGCUUUUGUACGGGAAGAAACACUGCUACGUGUAGCAGCUUGACGGUACCGUAAGAAUAAGGAUCGGCUAACUCCGUGCCAGCAGCCGCGGUAAUACGGAGGAUCCAAGCGUUAUCCGGAAUCAUUGGGUUUAAAGGGUCCGUAGGCGGUCUAAUAAGUCAGUGGUGAAAGCCCAUCGCUCAACGAUGGAACGGCCAUUGAUACUGUUAGACUUGAAUUAUUGGGAAGUAACUAGAAUAUGUAGUGUAGC
Molecule: ribosomal RNA, 620 nt
Filed under: uncultured Bacteroidota bacterium
Lineage: Bacteria; Pseudomonadati; Bacteroidota
Description: bacterial SSU rRNA
Rfam family: Bacterial small subunit ribosomal RNA
Source: RNAcentral